UGAAGCAGUUGGUAGUCUCCGCCGGUCAAUUUUCGUCCCACCUCUCCUGAUUUUUUUUGAUACUUCGUCCCAUCUCCGGCUUUCCACCAUUCCCCCGCAUCUUACCUCCCAACCGAUAAAAAAACGUCAAGAUACAACUACGCCCAUUCUGAACCGCGCCGAUUCACAGCUAGAAAAAAGACCUAAAACGAACUAACACGAUUAACCUACGAAAUUACGCCAGACGCUCGCACCCUCGUGCCCUCGAUGCACUUGCCCGCACGAGUCGCCGCCUUCAUUCGUUCCUACGUCGCUCAAUCCCCUCGCAGCCGCCGCCGAUCCCCUCCCCCAUCUCCCUCCCUCAAACGCCGCCGCCCGUCGCUGCCGCCCCCGCCACCUCCAGCCGCGGCCGCCGCGCCCACCUCCAGCCGCGGCCCCCGCCCCACCUCCAGCUCGACUCCACGAUCCCCUUCCUAUCGAUCGCCCACGCCCCCACCGCUUCGCAUCUGAUCGCCACCAGCGCCCGUGCUCUUCUGGUCGCCGGCCGCCAUGCAGUCCUCCGCGCCGGACCUUUGCGUUGCGUUCCUCCGCGCGAGGCCGCCGCCGCUGCAGCAGCUCUCUCGGAUCCAACACGAAGCUUGCGACGAAGGGCUUGGAGUUGGCCAUGAGUGCUCGAGGUGAAGUGGCGGCAUGCGUUUCUGUAGGGGGGGAGGGGCGCACAUUAGGGAAGUCAACGGCCGGAUCCGAGCACGGAUGAGGCCAGGUUGCCACUUGGGGCCCAUGUCGGUCAGAUCCAGGCAACACAUGGGAGUCGGCGUGGCGGCAGCGUAGUGCCGAGGCAGGAAGGAGGCACGGGACGACACAUCGGCGGGUCGUGGUGCACUGCACGAGAUGAGUGACAUGAUGUAAACAACGCUGUAGGCAUUGAUGCCACACAUGCGUCAUUUUCUACUGCCGAUACUGAUUCUUGAGGGCUACUGGCACUGCCGCCGGGUAUGAGCAGGAACUGCCUCCAUUGAGAACUCUGGGUACUGCCGCUGCCGACGACCAUCGAGCACCGAGUUGGAACUGCCACCAUCAAGGAUGACUGGCCGCCAUUGAGGUUGAUUGUUUUGGCGGCGCCUUCCCACUACCAGUCUGCACCAUCACUGUUGUAUUCUGAGCAGCCGGAGAACCCCUACGGUUGCAAGAUUCCUGUAACUUGUAUUUGAGAUGCAUGUCCUAAUCGUCUUGGUUGUGGUCAGGUGUGGUAUGCAGGAAUCCGUCAGAAGAAUGUGGCACAUAAUAAUAGUUUCAUCAUCUCAUCUUCAUGCUACUUCCAGUUAAGUGCUAGAAAAAUAAAUGCCCGAGACAUGUUUUAAGGAAUUCAAAGACGAGUUCCCUUUGAAGAGCAAGCAAUCAUAGUACGGAGCAAGAUGAUUCGAAAUAGAGGUUCCCAUAAUUAGAGGCAAUUGAAUCAUAUAUGAUGAUUAGCCUAAUGUGCUGCUAUAACAUUUAAAACAUUUUUUUGACCUGGGAGCAAUCAGCAAACUCUGACCUCUUUGUAAUGUUUGAUUACCAUUUAUGUAGGGCUCUGUACUGCAGGACAACAUAUUCACUAUCAAUAUAUGGUCUAUUUCCAAUAUAAGGUGUAUGUCAAGUUAUACACUGACUACAGAAAGUGAUGCUCGACGACGAACAUCUGCUUGAGGACACCCUGCUCGACGAUGCUCCUCUUCGCUAGCAUCUCCAUUGCAUGAUAGGGGGAGAGUUCUUGUACUCAGAGCAGCUGUUGAUCUGCAGCAACUCUAGAAGUAGGAUUUAGGAUAAUCAUAGUUUCAGUUUGCCAAGCAGGGAGUAUAAUUUAACUGGAAAUCAACCAACUAUUGCUUUGAACUGGAGUAUAAUUACCGAAGCGGGUCGAAGUGGGACGAUGUGGUUCGGUGGUCAACGCCGGCUGCGCGGGAUGCAGUAUGGUAUGGCUUGAGCAUCUCGAGGAGGGGCUCUCUCCGCAAGGCAUCCUCUACGCCACGGCGGAGGUGUUCGAGUAGUCUGUCCCGGGGCUGCGCGUGGAGCACGUCGACGUCUCCGUCUUGCCAUUGCUCAGCACCGCCCUGCCGGCUGGGGUUCUUAUUUGCCAUCGAGGCCUUCCGCAACUGGGACCAUGGUGCCUGAUAGCUUCCUCUCCGGCUGGAUCGGCAGUCUAUCCACCCAAACAAGAGGGUCCUCAUGGAGAGUAUCCACAAGUCCGAGGCUGAGAAGGAAAGAGAGAAGACCCUCUCUGACCAGUUUGAGGCUUCAGUUUGAGGCCAAGCGUGCUAAGAGCAAGGCUAGCUAGCAGGGAGAGGAAUAUUGCGAGGAGGCAGGAGAGAUUGGCUCAGGUAAGAUGACUUUCACUUGAGCCCUGUCUAUUUCCUCACAUAGUUUGAUUUGUGCUGCAUUAUAUUGGUACUGAAAUACAUAAUGCGUGCACAUGUCUUCUGUUGGAUGUUUCAGAGAUGCUUAUGCAGGGUUUCUUUAAUCAUUUUGGUUCAUGGUACCAGCUAAUGAAAUUUACGUGCUCUGAUGAUGAAUUCGUGCCAUGUCGAGUUGGAUUGGCGGUGGCGUAUUUUUCCUCUUGUAGUCAAAUUAGUGAGAUGCUUCGUUCUCUUCUUUAUGUGAACGUACAUGUAUGACCAGUGUAAUUAGGUGCAGUAGUUUUGGUCAAUGUCAAAGCAGAAGAGAGCUACAUGUAUGACCAGUAUUGAAUCACGGCGAGAGAGUAAUGUAGCUUCGUCCCUCCCUGAUGCUGCUAAUGCAAGAUGCAUAGGAAUCUUAUUCAAUAUCAAAAAUUGACAUACCGUGCAAUCAUGUCUAAUGUCUUUCAUUAAAUCUCCGCGGAGGUGCCGGCCGGCUGGUACAUAUGUCAGUGCAUCAUCUAUCUCAGACUCUCAGUCACAGCUAUCUAAUUGGUGUAUAUUCAUCUCCAAUUACAGCCUCAUAAUUUUUUGGACAUUCAUUUACAGCCCGAUCUACUUGGAUGUGCAGACCUGGGAGUUGGAACAAUUCACCAAGAGAAGCCAGUUCGUGUAUAACAGAAUGGGUGGAAUUUAUCAUGAGAUCCUACCCAAAUCCGAGUACUUCUCCAAGGCACUGUACACCUUCCAUUUCGCUCAAAACAAUCUCUCUGUGGGCUACUUCACCAAUAAGACUACCAACAUAUUGAGGCCUAUGACCCCAAUCCGAAGGAGCGGUUCACUGUGGCAAUGCAGAUGCCCCGAGAAGAGGUAGUAGUGGUGGUGCGGGCGCGCCGUGGGCGAGGUGGGCUUCGGGUGUAGCGGCGGGUGCGGCUGCCCCAUCGAUGGCAGCGCGAUGCCCCCCGCCGUCGGGCCCACACCGCCGGACAUUGGCGGUGACCGGAGACUGUCGCGAUGAUUGUUGGUCGGUUGCGGAGCUUGCAACACGAGCUGGUAGCGCCAGCGUUGGCGAGAGAGUGAGGUGUCCCCAGUGCAGUAGGCGGGGGAAAGCUUAAGGCGACCAGUGCCCUCCGGUCCUCAUCGCUGCACGUCGAGGUCAAGUCUGAGGCUGCAAGCUGCAAGCUGAUGCAUCCACAGACAUCAUCGUCGACUGCAUCUUCAACCUCCGGAUGCCGCUUCCGUACACUGCUUCGUCAACCUCAGCCGUGACCCUUCCUCCCGGUCGCCGUGUUUAAUAUCCUAUUCGUCGGCCGCCUAUCUCGAGCACCGCGAGCGAGGUGGAUGCCCUGACUGCCAAUCACCAAGAAACUCCGCGGAAAGCUGCUGCAGAUAGGUGUUAUGCUGGUAUAUUCUUUCUGUAGCCUUUGUUCAGGUAAAUCAAACCAAGACUUGGAGACUAUAGAUAGCCACUCUUUUUUUACCAACCUUUGUUUUUGUUAAUAAUGAGUCUGACAAUGAAGUGACUACAUCUCCAUCUUUUCACCUUUGUUUCUACUGGGCUUCUCAAAGGUCCAUUCCUGUAAUAUUUUGGAGGACAUCUCCCAUUACAAUCGUUGGGGGUUUUCAAUUUAUGAGUAAGGCACGCGAAGCUCCCUUACAAACCCAACAAAUCGUACUUCGGAAUCAUUGCAUUUUUCUUCAUCGGCUUCGUCACAUCAAACACGUAAGCAAAAGGCAAUAUAUAUACUACUGGACCCUGAAGCCCCAAAUCAUCUUCUGUUUUCUAUGUACUCCCAUGAUUAUUUAGCAAAUGCCAAAAAUAGUGUUUCUUUCAUGCGUACAUCGUUUCGUUUGGAGUUUUGCCCACUUGAUCUGAAUAUGAGGAAGGACAAAUAUCUUGUAGCAGAUCAGAUUCAGGUCAUGUCAUGAUUCCUUAAGGGCCUCAUUACUGGUGGUGUUUCUUUCUUCCAUGGUGAUUCCUAUUUUUCAUAGUUGUACUAGCAGGAUUAUCAUAACAACUAAGCAAAUGCCUAGCUGGAAAUUUGAGAGGCGUGUGAUCAGGUGUCAAUACUUAAAGAAAGAGCCUUUAGUUUUUCUUAAUCAGAAUGCAGAAAUUUAAGCAUGUAGAUCUUUGAUGAAAACAUAAUUAAGAUAUUGCUGAGGUAAUCUCAUGUUACCUUUGUAUUAUGUUAGCCUACUAAUUUACUAUAUCCAGGUCAUAAUAUUGUUGCUAUUUUCAUGAACUACGUAAUGGUUAAUGACACAACUCAAUGAACUAAGUAUUGAGAGCAUGGGCUGUUGCGGUGGACCGGUGGUAACGACAAGCUCAGAGGGUUUUGCCACUGUGAUCAUGUUGGUCGUGCUAGCACUGACAACGUAGAGUAUACAAUAUACUGCUGGGACCAGUGACACUUAUUCUACUUCCUUAACAGCGGGCAAAUUGGUAAUUUUUGGUCGAUAUAGCAAGUUUGAGAAGACCCAAUUUUGUUAUACUAUGUAAGUUGAUACACUUUUUAUAUGUUCGAUUGGUGAUAUUGGAAAUAGCUAAGCUUACUGGUGUGAUCCAUCUAAGAAAAUCUCACACAAUGACAUAAACCUAUAUCUAGAAUGAUACGAGGACUGUGAAAUAAGAAGGAUGUGAUGCUACUAUGUUCUGGUGGAUUGUAAGAUGGCAUUUGAGGAUUUACUAAGUAUUUAAUGAUUGGAAACAUUACUCUUGGUAUGUUUAUAGGCGAGGCUGCUGGCGCCUUGCAUGGAUUUCUUUCUUCUUUCUUUCCAGCUCCCUGUAACUGUUUUCUUCUACCGCUUCAUAAGUGAAAAUCAGCAAUCUGCUGCUUUUUCAUCAAGAAAAACUCUUGAUAUGUUCUAUUUUUCAGGUCUUGCAUACUGUUGUCGGUAAUAUGUUAGCAAAAGUUCAAUGAUAUUUGUUUAAAGCGAGAAUUCUUCACCGUGUUUUAACUUUUACAUGCCCUAAAGAUAGAAACAUCUAAUCUUAUGAAUUUGAAUUUGCGCUUCAAGAAAACUUGAAUUGACUUGUCCACGACGAUUAUUUCCAAGUACAUCAGUUCAAGGCAGGGGGUUGGCGGGUUCAACUAGGGGCUGCGAGGGUCAUCAGAUCAGUAUGUUCGUGGGUAUGGGACGGGCCCACACCAACAUCGGCGUUGCAGUGGCGAGCGACAAGGGGCGAAGCUGAGCAGGAGCUGUUGCCCGUGUCAACCCGCGACCGCUAUAGCGCGAUGUGGAGGGCAACUCCUCCUUGUCCCCCUCCACCUCGAGAACGAAGGCAUCCCAGUCAUCCUCUUUGCCGGAUCUGUCACCUCUGGCAUCGUCGAUGUCGACAUUGGGACAGAGAGGGGGAGGGGAAUGGACGUGGAGUGGAGGUGAAUCGAUGGAGUGUGGAUUGAAAGUGAAGUGGACUUAGGGUUUGCUUCGGGUGGGGAUUUUAGUGGGGACAAAGUGGGGUCGACGCGGGCUAGCAUGGGCCAGGCUAAUGUGGCGGACGCGGCCUUCCUAUAUCGGCCCCAGAUUUUGGUUAGAUAUGAUGGGUGUGUGACAACCCAUGCCUAUAGGUUGUUAUGAGUCAUCGGUCUGCGUCGGUUUUUCUGACCGGUUAGUGUCUGGGCCUUUCGAUCGGGCGUAUAGGGGCGGUUUUUGGUGCUCGGAUGUAGAUGCUCUCUAUUGUGGCGUAGUGAAGAUAAAAACAAAAUUUCUUCAAAUGUUUGUCUUUUUCAUGCCAGUGAAGAUAAAAACAAAAUUUCUAAUAUUUCAAAAGCCCAUGGCAACGCACGGGCAUUCUAUCAUAAUAACAGAGGAUGGUGCUUGCAGUUGUUGUGGGUGCUGAUGGUUCCCCUGUCUUGGUUGGAUCGACGGGUGAAGAAAAAGACAAACAUUUGGAGGAAGACCAGCGACAAUCGAGCUCGACUAAAACACACAUUUCUUUUUAGUUAAUUGCAAAGGCACUCCCUUCAAAUUUCCAUGCAUUGUGACCAUACGAAUAUAUUUUACUUCUAUUAUCACUAUAUUCAAAAUAAUAUUAAUUUAGGAAAUUACCGAGAUUUGUCUGGCUAUUAUUUCUUUAUGCUCUGGUGGAAUGGUAAAGAAUUACUUCAUCCGGUUUGUAUGAUGGGUAUUCUCUGUUAGACAUUUUAAUCCCUUUGACGUGAAGUAUUUUUGCUAACUGCAUAUAUUGCUUGUGCAUAAUGGGUACGAGUUCAGGUCCUUCAGGAAGAUGUUUUUAUUAUACUUGCUCGAAUUUCAUGCCAGUGAAGAUAAAAACAAAAUUUCUGAUAUUGUGCGAGAUUUCUUAAGUGCAUAAAAUAGUAGAUCUUAAUUUGUAACAAUUUUUUAGAAGGUCAAAUUUCCUUUUUGCUAUCAAUUAACAUUGCAAGUGAAGUGGAUUUAAAUUGUUACUCGAUUGGGCCCAUGAUAUCUAUUCUCUACACAUGAAAUUUAACAUGCUUUAUAUUUACAUAGCUCCAGCAAAAUAUUUCAAAAGCCCAUGGCAACGCACGGGCAUUCUAUCAUAAUAACAGAGGAUGGUGCUUGCAGUUGUUGUGGGUGCUGAUGGUUCCCCUGUCUUGGUUUUUUGGAAUGGUGAUUCAAGAAGGGACACCAUGGUGUGGAUGGACCAUAGGGCUCUUGACCAAGUCGAGUGAAUUAAUUCUCACAGUUCACCGAAUUGCAUUGGCAAAUCAUGAAAGGUGUAAUGUUCACGGAUUUUUGUUAGAUGAUCUGUUGGUCCGGUUUAAUUUUAGCGUGCAUGAGGCAUCUGGGAAACAUGUUUCAAGGGCCUUGUUUGUCGAUCUGGAGCCCACUGUUAGUAGAUUAUGGCAGUAAAUCAUAAUAGGUCAUGUUGUUGGACGAGGGCGGGCUGGCGGAGGGCGUGUCGGCGGACGACGUGGAGGUUGUGUUCGGCUCCAUCGGCCGCAUCGUCGGCAUCGAGUUCGUGCGCACCAGCGGCCCUAGCUUCGCCUACGUCGGCUUCCACUGCCCCUCCCACAAGGUCAUGACCAAGUUCUCCACCUUGUUGUGGGUGCUGAUGGUUCCCCUGUCUUGGUUUCUUGGAAUGGCGAUUCAAGAAGGGGCAUCAUCGUGUGGAUGGACCAUAGGGCUCUUGACCAAGUUGAGUGAAUUAAUUCUCACAGUUCACCGGUAUUGCAAUUUUAUGGUGGGAGUUUCUCCCUAGAAUACAGAUAAAUAGUUUUGAAUUAUUUCGUAAGAUCGGUAGACAACAUUUGCUGUGUAUUUUACAGUUACCGGCGUUGAUUGUAUCGUAUUGAUUUACCUUUUAAAACAUUUAUGGGUAAAGGAAAAUCUACAAAAAUCUUGGUUUAUGUUAUAUAGGUGAGUUUCAACUCACAACCUCUCUAAGCUUGUAAUAAGCUAUGAGCUGAAUUUCUAACAAGUUUGCUUUCAUUCUUUUUUUCUAGGGAAACUGGUGAUGAAACACGCAGCUUAUCACACAUGAGCAGCGGAGGGAGUUAAAAUCGUGUGGUAUGGAACCAUGUGGAAGGGGUGAAGUCUUUUGGGCAGAAAGUUUGGGAGACCUUUAUGAAGAGAGCUACGCAAAAACAGGAGUUAGGCUUGCUUCCCGGGACUCUUGUUGGGACUUCCCUUAUGAUGCUUAUGCCGGGUGUCUUGGAGUCAUGGAAAGUGUGCCAAAUGCAGAGUUUAAAGUUGAAACGAUGAUACCUGAGUUUUGGCUCAAGGAAUGUGGCCAAAGUGCAACUGGCGCUUUACUUGAUUACAUUGCUCAAAACCAUAUUGCGGCUCCCUUUUCUUGCUAAUCAAGCUGCUUCUGAAAGAUUUCUUGUGCUUCAAAUUUUGUUGAUCGAAAGCGGAGUAAGGAGCCCAUCUUUCAUGGAAUCAUCUACAACGAUGCACGACUGGAUCGAAUUGAAGAGCAAAUAUAUUUUGGCGAGGAAGGACAAAUGUUGAUUAGGUUUCAUUUUAAUUAGGCUUCAUCUUUGUUGCAGUCAGUUGAUUUCAGAAAGUAUUACAUUCAGAUUACUUGAAGAUAGACAAAAGCCUGAAUUCUUAUUAGCUGGUGGUUGAGCCAUACAAACGUUGUUCUAAUUUCUACAAGGCAAGUCGAGAUUGACUUUCAAAACUAAGGAUUAUGCAGCCAUAAUCUGACAUUAAAUUAAUUGAAUUAGAGAAUUGGAGGCUGGAGAAGUCGGUUGCACAGGGCAAAAAAGAAACAGAAUUGGCUCAUAGUCUGGGGAAAUAUGAUGGGCGAGCAGGUGUGUUGGGCACUCGUCAAUGCGAGGCGUCACCGAUCAACAUACUAACACCCUGCUUUAGACCUGGCGUAUCCAACUAGAUGUGCAUGCUUAGCAACCUCAAAGAGUCUGUUGGAGACACAUUUGUGCAUACCUGCGAUGGCUCAUGCGUCCUUUCACUUAAUUAGAAUUUUCUUCUUAAUGAUACGACUGUUGUUAGUUAUUUUUGGAUUCGAAUUUAAUUUGUGUGGAGUUCCUUAAUGCACAAUAUGACAGAUUAACUUGUUGUUUCAGUUCAGUUCGUAGGCGUAGCUUUCUCAUUUGGUAUGUGGUAUACAAUGUACUUUAUCAAUAUGGUGACUUUUUGAUAGUUGUGAUGUUACCACUUCUGCAUUUAGUAUGUCGUAUAUAAUCUAUCUGUAUGAUAAUGGUUGUCAUCUUGAUUCUUGGAUCCAAAUCAAACGACACAUGUGACAGCCGUGGCAGCCUCGGCCUGUGGUGGCCGAAAGGGUGCGCAACAUGGAGGCAUGGAGGUGAGGCAGGAGAGGUCGUGGUCAGACUGGUACUGCACUGAGUGUAGAGGAGUUUGGUGUAUACGGUAAUUCUUCCUACAUUGUUGUUAUUGAUUGAUGGUGAAUCUAAAAGGAUGGAGAAGAAAACCCUAAAAAUUUGCGUGUGGAUGUGGAAGGUUGGGUUUGUGAGCUAGGUGUGCCAUUGAUGUCAGUGGCGAAGUUGGAUCAGGAAAGAAGAAGAACAUGAGUGAUUUAACGGUAAAUAAGAAAUCAAUAAUGCUGCUUGAUGUGCAUGAUGAUGUUCAUAUGAUUGAUGUUGAGCCUAUACAAUAUGUACCACACCCGUUGCAACGCACGGGCAAAUUGAAUCUAUUAUGGUAACUUUUAUGCCAUGUUAUUAUAAGUAUUUAUGCCAUCUUCUUCUUUAGAAAACAGGUUAGUAGAAAUUCUCUUUUCUCGCCUUUCUUAUUACAUGGACUCAACUAACAAUGUGGCAACAGGUUCUAUCACUCGGGUAAAGAGCGCACACAGCUGGACGUCGUAUAUUCCUUUAAUCUAGGAAUAUGUCUAGCUAUUUUGUUUUUCAUUUUAUGCUCUGGUGGAAUGGUAAAGAAUUGGUCAAGCCGGUUUACGCGGAUGAGUAUGAGUUGAGGAAGCAAUUUUUUAUUAUACUUGCUAAAACAUCAUGGGAAUGAAACUAAAGGCAACUUUCAUGAUAUUGAUAGUUUUGUAAUAGAUGUUAAGGUCGAACAUCGUUACAUGGACAUGUCGUUAAUCUUUUUUUAUCAAUUUACGUUGCAAAAAUGAAUUUCAAUUAUUCAAUAAUUGUGUUUGUGUUAUAUUAUUUGUAUGUGUGGUAUUCAAUAUGUAACUCUUGCAAACUAUUUCAAGAGCCCGUGGCAACGCAUGGGCACUCUACUAUAUAUUUGGUCCAGGAGUAGUACAUAGAGCAUUUCUGGAUCAGAUAUACACACGCUAUUCACCUUCAUAACCCGAUUUUUUUUGCUUAUGAUGAUGUUUAUUAUCGGAAAGCUCUUGACAAAAGCAUCAAGUAAUGGGCCAAUACUCAAAUAACUGACUCACCUACAAUCUUUUUUUCUAACGGCAGUAUUAUAUACACAAUAAUAAUUUUUUACAUUUUUCUUAUUGGGAGGCCUGAGACAUUGCUGAAGCCUUUUGAAGUGAUCGAUUUGAGACACUAAAGACUCCGGAGAGCGUUUGUGUGGAGUUUGUUUCUUUUGUUCUGCAUAACUGUGAUGCCUUGAUGCGGGGUUGUAUUGUGAUCUGAACUUUAGUUUGGUUCGAUGCGUGUUGAUGGUGCUUCAGGGUUUUCGCCUCGUAGUGGGCGUUUCGAUUGCGAGCGCUCACAGCGGGUUUCCCUGAAGUGCUUGAUCCCGCUGUUUCCCUUUCCCUUGUUUGAACUUGGAACUGGCUGUAUUUCCGUUAUAUUUUUAAUGGAAAGGGGAUUAGCCCGGGUCAAAAAAAACAUUUUUCUUAUUGUUGCAAAUAUAUAUCUUGGUAGUUAUAAAUGAUACAUCUAUUUGAUCAUCAAAUGCUUAUCUGUAGUGUUUAGGAGAGUUUUUUUGAUUGGAAAUGACUUUUGAUUCUUGGUUCUUGAGGUGGUAUAUUACUCUGAAGCACUUCAAUUCUUGGCUCUGGCUAAGCAUAAUAUAUUACUUUACUACUGAGAUUUGGCUACUAAUGAUAUAUGUUACCAUUGUUUUUGUUGUCUUUGAUAGUAUAAAAGAUCGGAAGUGCAUCAGCUAUCACUGCUCCUGUUUGUUGGUAUGGGUUUCACAUCGUUGUCAAUUUUGAUAUGUUUCACGGGAUGAAUGAUGCGUCAGAUUCUUCUAAAACUGCCACUAUUCAGUAUGUAUCCGUCGCAACCCUAAGUUAUGUCUGUCAUGCAUUCAUUAUCUUUAUUUUUUGAGGCUCAAU
This is a non-coding RNA of Triticum urartu, 11025 nucleotides long. Lineage: Eukaryota; Viridiplantae; Streptophyta; Magnoliopsida; Poales; Poaceae. The record is from RefSeq and is a predicted model, not a curated record.